This 482-nucleotide ribosomal RNA is filed under the name uncultured soil bacterium. RNAcentral's name for it is "bacterial SSU rRNA". It matches the Rfam family "Bacterial small subunit ribosomal RNA", at positions 26 to 507 of the family's 1533-position model. The record is from RNAcentral.
AGAUUGAACGCUGGCGGCAGGCCUAACACAUGCAAGUCGAGCGGCAGCACGGGUACUUGUACCUGGUGGCGAGCGGCGGACGGGUGAGUAAUGCCUAGGAAUCUGCCUGAUAGUGGGGGAUAACGUUCGGAAGCGGACGCUAAUACCGCAUACGUCCUACGGGAGAAAGCAGGGGACCUUCGGGCCUUGCGCUAUCAGAUGAGCCUAGGUCGGAUUAGCUAGUUGGUGAGGUAAUGGCUCACCAAGGCGACGAUCCGUAACUGGUCUGAGAGGAUGAUCAGUCACACUGGAACUGAGACACGGUCCAGACUCCUACGGGAGGCAGCAGUGGGAAUAUGGACAAUGGGCGAAAGCCUGAUCCAGCCAUGCCGCGUGUGUGAAGAAGGUCUUCGGAUUGUAAGCACUUUAAGUGGAGAAGGCAGUUACCUAAUACGUAUCUGUUUUGACGUUACCGACAGAAUAAGCACCGGCUAACUCUAGUG